CUCUCCCUGUGAUUUCAGGCCCUUUGACAACACACACAAAGACAGAAGGCAUUUCCAGACAGACAGACAGCAAAAGUCAACCUCUUUUCAAGGACAGAUAGGAGAGAAACAACAAACUGCAGAUCCUGGCAGGCUAGAGCGACACAGCAAGGUCUCCUGACAAUGGCGAGGAAAGACUCUCCGGAAAGAGAUGAUGGUGUGUGAGCUGCUUCCCAUGGUCAAUCGCCUGUGUGGAUCAUACGUUGUCUUAUCAUCAGCUGUCCGUCCAUUGUCCUGUGCAACAGAGUGAAACCACAUCAAAUCUAUGGUGCCAAAGGCCCGGACUCCGAAUGCAGGAGCUGGAGCUAAACAUCGAACCGAUGGACUCUGCAAUACUGUAUUAUUCUGUGGGAGACCAAACUUAUUUUUCAGUGGGUCGUCUUGAAGUGGGUCGUCUUGAACUUCUGGAUAUGACCCAGGACGAGAUUCUCUUUUGGAGUUUACACUUGGCAACUCCUCUGCAGUGUUUUUACAGAAUACAGACCAAAGUUAAAGACCAUGUUAUGGAGGACACAGUGGACUAUGGGAUAAGGGGUUUAGAGACUUAUUAAAGUUGAUAAAACAUGCAAUCCUGUAUUCCCACUUACACUUUGAUAGACAUACCCACAAAUGUACCCACGGUGACUUAUUUCGCAGAGUAAUUGUGUACAAAUUAAUGACAAUAAUUGGAAGGCAAAAGAAAUAAGUCAAAGGACAUUGUGUAAUUUGUCAAUGACAUUUAUUUUAGACUACUAAACUGUACUUGUGUACUCACUGCUCUAUUUUGAACAUUAAUUAAAUCAGAUUUACAUUUUC
Oncorhynchus kisutch (coho salmon) is the source of this 834-nucleotide long non-coding RNA. RefSeq lists it as uncharacterized. Lineage: Eukaryota; Metazoa; Chordata; Actinopteri; Salmoniformes; Salmonidae. The record is from RefSeq and is a predicted model, not a curated record. The transcript has 2 exons.